CUAAAGCGAAACUGCGAACGGCUCAUUAUAUGAGUUAUCGUAUAUUUGAUACUGCCACCAUUCCAUGGAUAACCGUGGUAAUUCUAGGGCUAAUACAUGCUGAAAAUCCCGACUUCGGAAGGGACGUAUUUAUUAGUUCAAAAACCAAUGCCCUUCGGGGCUCUUUGGUGAAUCUGGAUAACUAAACAAAUCGCAUGGCCUUGCGCUGGCGAUGGCUCAUUCAAAUAUCUUCCCUAUCAACUUUCGAUGGUAGUAUCUGGGACUACCAUGGUGAUAACGGGUAACGGAGGGUUAGGGCUCGACCCCGGAGAGAUAGCCUGAGAAACGGCUUUCACAUCCAAGGAAGGCAGCAGGCGCGCAAAUUACCCAAUCCCAACGCGGGGAGGUAGUGACGAUAAAUACCGAUACAGGGUUCUUUUGGACCCUGUAAUUGGAAUGAGUACAAUUUAAACCUCUUAACGAGGAACAACUGGAGGGCAAGUCUGGUGAACGUCCAGUUCCAUUUUGCUGGCGCCAGCAAGAGCGGGAGGACCCUAUACUAUAGGGUAUACCUUCAGACCCGCUAGUCGAGCAUCCACUCAAUGGCGGGAGGAUGCCGGCAAGACAACCUGGAUCGGGGGAGGCUAAGGGGUGCGCUAAUGAGGGCGCCCUAUGCUGAUCCCGAGCAGAGCUGCCGGAGAGCGAUUUCUGGUGAGCCUGUGUAGAGCGCGCAAAGGUGUCGGUCGCACUGCUAUUCAGCAGGCGGCUUAAGGUACGUGCCGCCCCCCGCGAAAGCGGAAUCUCUGUUCGGAGCGCCCGCCACGCGAGGAA
RNAcentral lists this ribosomal RNA (810 nucleotides) under Parafuscosporella sp. RNAcentral's name for it is "SSU rRNA". The stretch from base 1 to 504 matches the Rfam family "Eukaryotic small subunit ribosomal RNA", at positions 76 to 595 of the family's 1831-position model. The record is from RNAcentral. RNAcentral also lists the same sequence under 1 other name. Lineage: Eukaryota; Fungi; Ascomycota; Sordariomycetes; Fuscosporellales; Fuscosporellaceae.